RNAcentral lists this unclassified non-coding RNA (394 nucleotides) under uncultured fungus. RNAcentral describes it as "partial contains small subunit ribosomal RNA, internal transcribed spacer 1, and 5.8S ribosomal RNA". The stretch from base 1 to 73 matches the Rfam family "Eukaryotic small subunit ribosomal RNA", at positions 1759 to 1831 of the family's 1831-position model. The record is from RNAcentral. Lineage: Eukaryota; Fungi.
GCAAACUUGGUCAUUUAGAGGAAGUAAAAGUCGUAACAAGGUCUCCGUUGGUGAACCAGCGGAGGGAUCAUUACAGAGUUGCAAAACUCCAAACCCAUGUGAACAUACCUCGUGUUGCCUCGGCGGCGAGCGUGGUGCUCUCGGGGAGUUGCCGGGUACCUACCCGGUACCUACCCUGGAGCUACCCUGUAGCCACCUACCCUGGAGCUGCAAGGUACCUACCCUGGACCUACCCGGUAGUAACCUACCCGGUAGCUACACUGUAGGGCUUGCGCAUCCGCCGGAGGACCACUUAAACUCUUGUUUCUGUGUGGCACAUCUGAGUUAUUAUACUUAAUAAGUCAAAACUUUCAACAACGGAUCUCUUGGUUCUGGCAUCGAUGAAGAACGCAGC